This 405-nucleotide ribosomal RNA is filed under the name Sphingomonadaceae bacterium Ellin7076. RNAcentral's name for it is "bacterial SSU rRNA". It matches the Rfam family "Bacterial small subunit ribosomal RNA", at positions 29 to 461 of the family's 1533-position model. Lineage: Bacteria; Pseudomonadati; Pseudomonadota; Alphaproteobacteria; Sphingomonadales; Sphingomonadaceae. The record is from RNAcentral.
AACGAACGCUGGCGGCAUGCCUAACACAUGCAAGUCGAACGAAGCCUUCGGGCUUAGUGGCGCACGGGUGCGUAACGCGUGGGAAUCUGCCCUUAGGUACGGAAUAACUCAGGGAAACUUGAGCUAAUACCGUAUAAUGACUCCGGUCCAAAGAUUUAUCGCCUGAGGAUGAGCCCGCGUCGGAUUAGCUAGUUGGUGAGGUAAAAGCUCACCAAGGCGACGAUCCGUAGCUGGUCUGAGAGGAUGAUCAGCCACACUGGGACUGAGACACGGCCCAGACUCCUACGGGAGGCAGCAGUGGGGAAUAUUGGACAAUGGGCGAAAGCCUGAUCCAGCAAUGCCGCGUGAGUGAUGAAGGCCUUAGGGUUGUAAAGCUCUUUUACCCGGGAUGAUAAAGACAGACCG